RNAcentral lists this transfer RNA (90 nucleotides) under Candidatus Curtissbacteria bacterium RIFCSPHIGHO2_12_FULL_41_17. RNAcentral's name for it is "tRNA-Ser". It matches the Rfam family "tRNA". From Rfam's summary of the family: Transfer RNA (tRNA) molecules are approximately 80 nucleotides in length. Their secondary structure includes four short double-helical elements and three loops (D, anti-codon, and T loops). Lineage: Bacteria; Candidatus Curtissiibacteriota. The record is from RNAcentral.
GGAGAGGUCGCAUAGCGGUCUAGUGCACGCGCUUGGAGAGCGCGCAUCCCCGUGAGGGGAUCGAGGGUUCGAAUCCCUCUCUCUCCGCCG